Molecule: ribosomal RNA, 433 nt
Filed under: uncultured bacterium
Lineage: Bacteria
Description: partial 16S ribosomal RNA
Rfam family: Bacterial small subunit ribosomal RNA
Source: RNAcentral
AACGAACGCUGGCGGCAGGCCUAACACAUGCAAGUCGAGCGCGCCCUUCGGGGUGAGCGGCGGACGGGUGCGUAACGCGUGGGAACGUGCCCUUCUCUGCGGAAUAACCUCGGGAAACUGGGAGUAAUACCGCAUAAGCCCUUUGGGGGAAAGAUUUAUCGGCGUAGGAUCGGCCCGCGUUGGAUUAGGUAGUUGGUGGGGUAAUGGCCUACCAAGCCGACGAUCCAUAGCUGGUCUGAGAGGAUGAUCAGCCACACUGGGACUGAGACACGGCCCAGACUCCUACGGGAGGCAGCAGUGGGGAAUCUUAGACAAUGGGGGCAACCCUGAUCCAGCCAUGCCGCGUGAGUGAUGAAGGCCUUAGGGUUGUAAAGCUCUUUCAGCUGGGAAGAUAAUGACGGUACCAGCAGAAUAAGCUCCGGCUAACUCCGUG